Molecule: ribosomal RNA, 465 nt
Filed under: uncultured bacterium
Lineage: Bacteria
Description: bacterial SSU rRNA
Rfam family: Bacterial small subunit ribosomal RNA
Source: RNAcentral
CCCAGACUCCUACGGGAGGCAGCAGUGAGGAAUAUUGGUCAAUGGGCUAAGGCCUGAACCAGCCAAGUCGCGUGAGGGAAGACGGUCCUAUGGAUUGUAAACCUCUUUUGUCGGGGAGCAACGAGGCCACGUGUGACCGAAGUGAGAGUACCCGAAGAAAAAGCAUCGGCUAACUCCGUGCCAGCAGCCGCGGUAAUACGGAGGAUGCGAGCGUUAUCCGGAUUUAUUGGGUUUAAAGGGUGCGUAGGCGGAACAUUAAGUCAGCGGUAAAAUCGAGGGGCUCAACCCCGGCGAGCCGUUGAAACUGGCGGGCUGGAGUUGGAGAGAAGUACGCGGAAUGCGCGGUGUAGCGGUGAAAUGCUUAGAUAUCGCGCAGAACCCCGAUUGCGAAGGCAGCGUACCGGCUCCACACUGACGCUGAGGCACGAAAGCGUGGGUAUCGAACAGGAUUAGAUACCCCUGUAA